GUGGGGAAUAUUGGGCAAUGGAGGCAACUCUGACCCAGCAACGCCGCGUGAGCGAUGAAGGUCUUCGGAUUGUAAAGCUCUUUAAGCGGGGACGAAGAAAGUGACUGUACCCGCAGAAUAAGCCUCGGCUAACUACGUGCCAGCAGCCGCGGUAAUACGUAGGAGGCAAGCGUUAUCCGGAAUGACUGGGCGUAAAGGGUGCGUAGGUGGUUUGGCAAGUUGGUAGCGUAAUCCCGGGGCUCAACCUCGGUGCUACUACCAAAACUGUUGAACUUGAGUGCAGGAGGGGUGAAUGGAAUUCCUAGUGUAGCGGUGGAAUGCGUAGAUAUUAGGAAGAACACCAGCGGCGAAGGCGAUUCACUGGACUGUAACUGACACUGAGGCACGAAAGCGUGGGGAGCAAACAGG
Molecule: ribosomal RNA, 408 nt
Filed under: uncultured bacterium
Lineage: Bacteria
Description: bacterial SSU rRNA
Rfam family: Bacterial small subunit ribosomal RNA
Source: RNAcentral